This 7566-nucleotide unclassified non-coding RNA is filed under the name Haliotis rufescens (red abalone). Its description in RNAcentral is "lactase-phlorizin hydrolase-like, transcript variant X1". Lineage: Eukaryota; Metazoa; Mollusca; Gastropoda; Lepetellida; Haliotidae. The record is from RNAcentral.
UAACUACGUGCAGCCGAACUUCAGCACAGUGUUCACACUCUAACCGCCGCCGCCAUGUCACCAUCCUGAGACACAGAGAGAGACACAGUUGCUGCUGGUUUCACACAACACUUUGAUAUGGACGCACGGGUGCUGUUGUUGGUCCUCUGUCAGUGUGUCGUCUCACGGAGUCACCUGAACGAAGAGUACUACUUCGGGCAGUUCCCAGCGGGGUUUGUGUGGGGGGCCGGCACCUCGGCCACUCAGACAGAGGGAGCAUGGAGAACGCAGGGACGAGGCCCCAGUGUUUGGGACACCUACUCACGCGCACCUGGCCGCACCCGCGGGGGCGCCACCCCUGACGUCUCCGCCGACAGCUACAACCACUACAUCGAGGACAUCGAGCUGCUGAAGAGUCUCGGCGUGUCCUCCUACCAUCUGUCGCUGUCCUGGUCUCGUCUCAACCAGGAAGGUGCGGGAACCCUGAAUCAGGAUGGCGUAAAGUACUACACAGAGCUGCUGCAGGCGUUGAGGGACGCCCACAUAGAGCCUUAUGUGACGCUGUACUACUUGGAUCUCCCCGAGGCCCUGGAGAGGACAGGAGGCUGGCUGAAUGAGGACACCGUGGACAACUUCACGGCGUAUGCCGAACAAUGUUUUAAUCUUUUUGGAUCAAAUGUGACGUACUGGGUCACAAUGCAUGACCCGCACACCGUGGCCUGGAGGGGGUACGGCGAGGCGUCCGCUCCCCCGGGGAAGUGGGAACCAGGGACCAAUCCCUACAUCGCCGCCAGACACCUCAUCCUUGCCCAUGCACGUGCUCUAAGUGUAUACAAGAGCUUGGAUGAAUCUGUGUCCGGAGGUCAAAUAGGCAUCUCCUUAAGCACCGACGUGUUCGAGCCCGAAGAUCCGACACACUCAGGCGACCUUCUAAGUGCCGAGAGAGCCAGACAAUUUCACAUUGGAUGGUUCGCCAAUCCCAUAUUUCACGGGCAGUACCCGGAUGUAAUGACAUCUCAAAUCGAGGCUAAAAGUAACCAGAUGGGAAAACCCUCCCGGCUUCCUGACAUCCGGGCAGCUCUUCAGAGUAUUCCAAAUUCGGGUGAAACUGACUUUCUCGUCGUGACCUACACCUCAUCAUAUCACGUGACCCACGAGGAACGGCCAAAUAUUGAAGCGAGUUAUCAGGACGACCAGGACAUCCGUAGGACGGAGAAGUGGUCAGAAGAUGGUGUGAGGAACGCCUUAAAAUGGUUGCAUGGAAAAUACAACGUCACUGUCCACGUAACCGGAAGCGUCGCCACUCACAAUGCGACGCUUAAAGAUGCCCAUCGCAUCCAUUACUUCAAAUGGCACAUUGAUCAAGUUUUGAAAGCAAUAAACCUGGACAGUUGCAACAUCACCGGCUACGUCGCCAGGCCAUUACUGGACGGCUUCCAAUGGUCCGAAGGCUACUGUACCAAAGGAGGACUGUUCUCGGUAGACUUCUCAGAUCCCGCGAGACCACGUACACCACGUGCCUCCUCUCGCCAUUUCUCGCAGAUAGUGGGAGACAACGGGAUCCUGCCCGGGUAUCGCGGUCUUGGGGGCGUGGCGUCCGGCAUCGUGGCGUAUGAGGAUGACACGGAGAUCUAUUUUGACGACUUCCCCGAGGACUUUGUGUGGGCUGCUGCCACCUCGGCAUAUCAGAUCGAAGGAGCGUGGAAUGAGGACGGUAAGGGAGAGAGCAUUUGGGACCGACUGGUGCACACACCUGGCAACGUCUACAACAACGACACCGGCGACGUCGCCUGCGACAGCUACAACAAAUACAAAGAAGACGUGAAGCUCCUGAAGAAUCUGCAUGUGACCGACUAUCGGUUCUCCAUUGCCUGGACCCGCCUGGUGCCCACGGGGAGGAUAGCUGAUGGCGUCAGUGCCGCGGGGAUCACCUACUACCACAGACUGAUUGAUGAACUCCUUGCCAACGGGAUUCGACCCAUGGUCACUCUGUACCACUGGGAUCUGCCUCAAGUCCUCGAGGACAGCGGUGGCUGGCUGAACGAGUCGAUUGUUGACGACUUUGUGGAUUAUGCCAAUUUGACCUUCUUUGAAUAUGGCAACAAGGUGCCCUUCUGGAUUACAUUCAACGAGCCGCCAAUCAUCUCCAUCCUCGGGUACGGGGAGGGGGCGUUUGCUCCCAAGAAGAGGGACCUGACGCAGAAUCCCUACAUCGUGGCGAGGCAUCUGAUCCUGGCUCACGCGAAAACUUUUCACCUCUACAAUAACACCUACAGAGCCUCACAGUCAGGCAUCAUUGGCAUCACUGUGAACUAUGGGUGGAGCGAGCCGAGAGACCCCCUGGACAUGGCGGACAUCCAUGCAGCGGAGAGGUCUAUCGAGUUCUACGGGGGAAUAUACGGCCACCCCAUCUACGUGGACGGCGACUUCCCCCCUGUCGUGAAGCAACAGGUGGCCAUGAAAAAUCGGGCUGCCAACUGGACCAGCUCCCCAAGACUGCCGCCAUUCUCAGAGGAGGAGAAGGCACUUGUCAUGGGAACCUACGACUUCCUAGGCCUGAACUUCUAUACAGCCAACAUCGCGUACAACAACGUUCAGAACGUCAGCGACCCCCCCAACAUCUACAACGACCAAGACAAUGGCGCAUACCAGGACCCCAGCUGGCUAGGAUCCGGAUCCGACUGGCUGAAGGUCACACCAUUUGGGCUGCGUAAAAUGCUGAACUGGUUCAAGUACCAUUACAACAACGUACCGGUUUACAUAACCGAAAACGGUGUGUCGGACCGGAAUGGAACCCUGUAUGAUGAACACCGUGUGCGAUUCCUCCGCCACUACAUCAACGAAGUGCUGAAAGCUAUCAAGCUGGACAAGUGCAACGUGAAGGGAUACACAGCUUGGUCUCUGAUGGACAACUUCGAGUGGUUGGCGGGUUAUCGCGAGAUGUUUGGCAUCCAUCACGUCAACUUCUCACAUCCAGACAGACCCCGCACCCCAAAGUCUUCCGCUAAAUGGUAUACAGGUCUCAUCGAUGACAACGCGUACCGACCAGGCUACUCUCGGCCCGGGGGUCGUGGCACUGCCGUCAAGACAGUUAAUGACUUCUAUUAUAGUACUUUCCCUGAAGACUUCAUAUGGGCGGCGGCCUCUUCGUCCUUCCAGAUUGAAGGAGCCUUUGAUGCUGACGGCCGUGGUGAAAGCAUCUGGGACAACUUCGCGCGAGUCGACAACAACCACACGGGGAAGAUUGCAUGUGACAGUUACCACAAAUACCAAGAUGACGUCAAUCUCCUGAAAAACAUGGGGGUCAGUCAUUACCGGUUUUCCAUCGCCUGGUCCCGAAUAUUUCCUGAUGGUACUCUCAGGUCGAAGAACCAGGGAGGAAUCAACUACUACCACCGGUUGAUCGACGCCCUGCUGGUGGCGGGCAUCAAGCCCAUGGUCACUUUGUACCACUGGGACCUGCCACAAGCCCUGCAGGACCAGGGAGGCUGGACCAACGCAUCCAUCAUCGCAAACUUCAGGGAUUAUGCCGACGUUUGCUUUGAAGAAUACGUCGGCAAGGUGGAUUACUGGAUCACCUUCAACGAGCCGUGGGUGUUCACGGUCCUAGGGCUGGGGACGGGCGACAUGGCCCCGGGGCACAGGAAUAUAGGGGACGAGCCCUACCUAGGGGCCCACAACGUCUUGCUGGCACAUGCUGAGGGGUACCACCUGUUUGGCAACAAAUACAGGGCGCAAAAUCCGGAAGUCCAAGUCGGCAUCACCCUCAACAUUGACUGGGCGGAGCCUAAAGACCCCCUCAACCCGGAACACAUCGAGGCAUCGGAGUGGGCGGUGCAUAUGUUCCUGGGAUGGUUUGCGAACCCCAUAUAUGGUAAUGGAGACUAUCCGGAUGUGAUGAAGCGGAGAAUUGCUGCGGUCAGCGCUGCGCAGGGAUUGAACCAGUCCAGGCUACCCGCAUUCACUGAAGCACAGAAGGCGUUCAUCAAUGGCACCUCUGAUUUCUUUGGUUUGAAUCACUACACCACACAGUACGUCAGCAAACAGAAUGAGAGUCUCGCUGGAGAGAGUGCCCCCAACUACUUCCUAGACAGAGGGGUGGACACGGAGUUCGAUCCCCAAUGGAUCAAAUCCGGUUCUUCCUGGCUCCGUGAUGUACCAUGGGGUUUACGGAAGAUUCUGAACUGGAUCAAAAACAAAUACGGGGAUGUGCCGAUCCUCAUCACGGAGAACGGCGUGUCAGAUAGGAGCGGCGUCCUUGACGACCAACACCGCAUACAUUUCUACAGAUACUACAUCAACGAGGUGAUGAAAGCAAUCCACCUGGACAAGGUCAACGUCCGGAGCUACACGGCGUGGAGCAUCAUGGACAACUUCGAGUGGGCCCGGGGCUACACGGAGAGAUUCGGACUGCACUACGUCGACUUCGACGACCCCAACCUCACCCGUGUCCCCAAGGCGUCGGCAGCGUUCUACAGACAUGUGAUACAGGACAACGGGUUCAAGAAAGGUGCACUCACUGACCCCAACAGACAACCACUUUCGCACGAAGACGACUUCCUGUACGAUCAUUUCCCAGAAGGCUUUGCAUGGGGCGCUUUCAGUUCCGCCCUGCAGACGGAGGGUGGCGGAAAUUUGCAUGGGAGGGGUGACAGUCUAUGGGACGUGUUCACAACAACUGAAGACGGCCCCAUGUCCUACCAUCACUACAUGGCCGAUGUACAGAGUCUGAAAGAUAUUGGGGCCAAGGUGUAUUACCUCUCGCUGUCCUGGCCUCGGAUCCUGCCAAACGGUGACUCUGGAAAUAUAAAUCGUGAGGGAAUCAAGUUCUACCACAAGCUGCUGAUGGCUGUCACGGAGGCUGGCAUCCAGCCUAUAGUCACCCUCCAUCACUGGGACGUCCCUGCUGCCUUCAGCAAUGGCUGGCUUAGCGAGGAUAUUGUAGAAGCCUUUGGCAACUAUUCAAGAAUAUGUUUUAAAGAGUUCGGUGGAAAGGUGAAAAUGUGGAUUCCUCUGAAUGAUCCGAACAAAAUGGCGUUGCUAGGAUACGAGCAGGGCAACCACGCCCCUGGUAUUAGAGGCGAAGGUUAUACAGCCGCACAUAACAUGCUGAAGGCUCACGCCUCCGUCUACCGAAUAUACCAGCGAGAGUUCCAACAUUCCCAGGGAGGCAAGGUCGGAUUAGCAGUUCGCUCGGCGUGGUUUAUCCCGAAGACAUCACGUGACCCUGGAGACUGGUUCGGGCAAGCUCUAUCGUUUGCCUACAAAUCUGAUUGGAUGGCUGACCCAGUAUUUUUAGAUGGAAAUUACCCGGCUGUGAUGAGACAGGAAGUCCACUUGAGAAGCAAGUACCGCAACAUGACAUCGAGGCUGCCGGUUCUUACAACGGAGGAGCAGAAAAUGAUAAAAGGUUCUGCGGACUUCCUGGGUAUCAGCUACUACACAGCACACCAGGUGGAGAGGGUCACAAACUACCCCCCGACUGCAGCACCCAGCAUCGCUGAUGACGUGUCCGUCAAGACGUCUGCCGACAACUCUUGGCCCAGGACAAAUCUGGACUGGCUCCGAGUCUACCCGAAGGGAAUCCGUCAAAUCCUGAGACGAGCUAGAGAGCGUUAUGGCAACAUUCCAAUUUACGUCACUGGGAACGGCGUGUCCGACGACCCGGGCACCACCGACGACAAGCUCCGGGCAUCAUACAUUGCGCAUCACACCAAUGAAAUUCUUAAAGCUAUAAAAUUAGACAACGUGGACGUCCGUGGCUACGUCGUUUACAGCCUCCUCGACGGCUUUGAGUGGAGAGACGGCUACAACGUCAGCUUUGGCCUUUUCGCCAUCAACAAGACUGACCCGGCCAGAGCGAGGGUCCCUAAGCUCUCGUCAAAAUACUACUCUCACAUCAUAAAGAACAACGGCUUCGUGUCUCCACCCAUGUCCACGACGGAAGCGCCUGUGAGGACAACAGUGAUAUACAGAAACUGUCCGACUUCACAUGGCACAAAUAUGGUGUUUUCACCAAUAAUAGUUUUAUUCGUGCUCUUCUUGUCUUCAGCACUUUAACUUUUGAUGAGAAAUGACACUUCUUUAUUAACAAUAUGCUAUCAGUAUUCUAGAAAAUGAAGAAGCGAAUAUUUUUUGAAGAAUUGAUGGGGUGCGGUGUGGCAAGGUGGAGGGGAGGGCACUCGCCGUCUGUGAGCUGACAGUACGUAUAGCAGUCACUGAAUCAGCGUGGAAUUAACGGCCAUUCCAAGAGUCGCAGUGAUCCAGGAACUAUAUGUAUUGUAUUGGAUUACGUGGGUUGGUAUAGAUGCAGAUGUUCGCAAGAAGUUUGUAGUGAUUUAUAAACACUUUUCGUAAGAUGGUAUAUUUUUUUACCAAAUGUAAUUAGGAAUGUACAUGUAGUGAAAUUUAAAGUUUCGAUGUUGUGACGUCUAGGAUUGAAGUGCUUCAUCCGUUGUUGUCCUACCGCUUCAUUAAUCAGUGUAUAGCCAGAUCUGUUCCCAGCUGGAGUAGGAUGCUAGAUUGCUACAAAGAUGGAGGACGAUAUUUCAGAUCGGGUGGUUGAAAUACAUGAGCCGGCUGAUGUGUCAUCGCUCAUGUAGCCCCGCACCUGAUUUACAGACCAGUGUGAUGCAGAUGUAAUAUUGUUGAAUGUGACUUGUUACAUUCACACUUACACAACACAUAGUGAGUGCCGUCUAUAGCCAGGUCCUACACUUGGUACUGACCUUCGUGGACUUGUAUUCUUCAGCCCCACCUUGUUUGAUUACGUAUUUGGAUAACGGGCGGUUCGUGACGAGAAGCAUCUAAAUAAUUAUAUUUUGUAUACCGUAAUAUACAUAAAACUAGUUAUCCGUAUUUUGUGCACCUGUUUUGUAAGUAAGCAUGGCAAUAAAGCAACACAUGUUUUUUAUUAUAUUUUCCAUUUAGGAACAUACUAAACCAAUUAUUCUCCACAUCUUUUUCGAAUGGUGCAUAGUCCCCCAAUCGAUACGUAAACACUCGUUGUGUUUGUGGCCAUUGUUAUCAACAUGAUCACAUUGUGGAAUGACUGUGUUAACGUGGCAAUGAAGAAUACAGCUACUUGAUAGGUCUGUUGUUGAGGUUGUGUUCAUGACUGUGUUAACGUGGCAAUGAAGAAUACAGCUACUUGAUAGGUCUGUUGUUGAGGUUGUGUUCAUGUGUUUUCCAUAGUGACACACUGAGUUGCGCAUACAAGGUCGCAGUAUGCACACAAAACCCCUAGCGACUGAGAGCACUGCAAUCAUCAUUGAGGGAAACAAACACUGCCUCGACCCGGGCGUGUUUUAACAGAUUUUCAGGAUAACCAGGGCGUCAUGUUGAUUUUAGUGCCAACGGCAAUUUCAAAUUGAUGCCAAUGAGACCAAUAACUUCAAUACGUACCAUAUAUGGUUGAAUAUUGUUUUAUGAUAAAUUCCCAUCAUUGCUGUAAAGGUGUUGUAUGCGUGGAGGGAGUGUGGGCAGUACCACAUGUAUGUUACCUGUGUUGUACAUAGCAUCAUGGUCUGGUUCAAACCAGUGAAGAUCUAUUGAUGAGAAAGAAUGAAUAAAAUGUAACAAGAAGAA